CCGCCCCCACUCUCCCCCCACACAAACAAUAAAGUGAAUGUGGUGUCACAUACAGUUAUUCCUGUGACAAAGCAUCAAGACCAGCCGCUAGAUUUGCAGGUAAUCUCAGCACCUACAGGCAGCCCUGUAACAGAGGCUUCACACAAAGGGCCAGAUCAGAAUCAGGGUGAGCUCACCCCAUCACCGUCUCCGUCAGUCAGCACAACAGACGCUCCACAAGAGGAGCAGAGGGGUCCCUUGGCACCACCAAAGACCAGAGUGAAGAAGAGCGCCCCCUGGCCAGACUACAUGGUAAAUGACACCUCAUUUCCUCACCUCACUGAUACCAGAACGCAUUCAAUCACUGCAAGCCUUGUCCUCGUGUUACAUUAUAUUAUAUGUCUUAUAUGUCUCCGACAAUCAAUGGCAACUUAGAGACUUUGAAUUGGGAUCACUUCCAAGGAUCAUCAAGCACGUUGUAUAGGUUGUGAAUGCUAAAUUAGAAGAAAAAAACAUUCAUUGGAUAUAUUACAUUAACUGCAGCACUUUAUCUCGUAGGCAUACAUGCCAGGCACAGCUGGAGGACAAAAUCGCUAUAAGCACAGAGAAAAAGUAACGUUUUAUUUUUAUACUACCUCUUUUAUUUCAUUAAAACUGUUUCACACUACCAUC
Molecule: long non-coding RNA, 651 nt
Organism: Clupea harengus (Atlantic herring)
Lineage: Eukaryota; Metazoa; Chordata; Actinopteri; Clupeiformes; Clupeidae
Source: Ensembl